Molecule: long non-coding RNA, 570 nt
Filed under: Nicotiana benthamiana
Lineage: Eukaryota; Viridiplantae; Streptophyta; Magnoliopsida; Solanales; Solanaceae
Description: long non-coding RNA (NBEN_LNC020371)
Source: RNAcentral
AAAAUUCUAGAGAAUUUUAGUGGAAGUAUGCAAUAACUAGACAGAAAAGAAAAUCCAAUAGCAGCAAUAUCAAGGGCAGGAUUCACUUUCCAGACAAUUUUAUUGUCUACCAAAGAAAAGUUAUCUUCAAAUAUGGCAUACUAACAGUGAGUGCACCUGUAACAGUGUAAAGAACGUAGAGAACUUUAGAAGAGUUCAACAAGAUGAACGCACAUCAAUGGUAGGUUCCUUGUCUCGGAUCCACGACGCACAGUUAGUUCCAAAACAUAGAGAACUUUAGAAGAGUUCAACAAGAUGAACGCACAUCAUUGGUAGGUUCCUUGUCUCGGAUCCACGACGCACAGUUAGUUCCACACCACUUCCUUUCAGGUCCUCUGUAUACCACGAAAAAGCAAUAACAAUAAAUGAAGAGGAAAAAAACUUAUGCAACAAACAGAAACUGCUGUCCAAUGAACCCAGAAUAACACUUAACUCAUCAACAAUAAUGAACAAUAGCGUACAAAAUGAAAUUGCAAUUGAGGACGGAGUUUUAGCAAUAAACAGUCCUUCAGUAUUUAGUGCUACACAGUG